This 116-nucleotide ribosomal RNA is filed under the name Limisphaerales bacterium. The record is from RNAcentral. Lineage: Bacteria; Pseudomonadati; Verrucomicrobiota; Verrucomicrobiia; Limisphaerales.
UUUGGUGGUAAUAAAGCGGUGGUCCGACCCGUUCCCAUUCCGAACACGGCAGUCAAACGCCAGCUUGCCGAUGGUAGUGCAUGUAUAGCUUGCGCGAGAGUAGGUUGCCGCCAUUA